Molecule: long non-coding RNA, 1226 nt
Organism: Solanum stenotomum
Lineage: Eukaryota; Viridiplantae; Streptophyta; Magnoliopsida; Solanales; Solanaceae
Exons: 2
Source: RefSeq, a predicted model, not a curated record
AACCUGGAAAGUUCUACUAGAAGCCCACAUAAGGGAAGUCAACAUUGUCUCCAUUCCAACUACCGGAAUCACCAACAUUGUACACUGUGCCGCCAAUCACGGUUGUGCUGAAUAAAUAAAAAACAACCAUCAUCGAGAAGAGAAACACGGCUUCCUUUGUGAAGAUCAUGACUUGACCUCCAAAACAGAAAAACAGUAGGUGUUCUGGAAAUUCAGAAGGAGCUACUUAGAACUCAAGGGAUGUUGUAGCAGCACUUUUGCAUGAACUAUCAGUAUAUAACUGUUCAGCAGACUUCUGCUGCUGAAUGCACCAUGAUGUUUGAGUGAAUAAAGAGCCAAGGCUGAUCUGGGAGUCCAGUAGCACUCACAAUUUGUGCAUGAAUUGAGCUAAUUGUAUGAGUAGAAUGUGUUGCAUGCUCUAAGAAAGCUAUGCUUAAGUGUAAUACUUAUUUCAGUGUGACUGGAUAUAACUUCAAUUAAGAAAGAAAAAAAUCUGUCUCUCCAAAGAAUUUCUUUGGGCAAAAUUGUAUCUGCAUCGUGCUAACUUCAGGCAAAAUAACCUUAGUAGUAAAAAAAAAAAAAAAAAAACCCAGUGUAAUCCCACAAGUGGGGUCUUGGGAGGAGGGUAGAGUGGUAGAGUGUACACAGACCUUACCUUUGAGAAGGUAGAGAAGUUGUUUCCGAAAGACCAUGGCUGGAUAAACAGUGAAAAAGAGACACUAGCAACAAAUGUAAACAACAAGAAGAUGAUAAUAAGAAACCUUAGCAGUAAACACUACUAAGGUUAUCUAAGUUGCUCUCCAACCUUAGUAGUAAACACUCCAAGAUACAUUUCAAUGAGGUAAAUAAAACAAAUUUGGUGACCAUGCCAAUUAUGCUAUAAAAAUUUCAAAGCAAAAUAUUACAGGAGUAGAGAAAACCACUCAUCAGCAUAUAAAACAUAGAUCUAAGUUCAGUUUGCAAGAGAUUAAAUCUCUACUUCAACUAUUUAAAGAGAAUCAUCCAACCAAUAGAACCUAACAUGAGUUAUGUAGAACUUCUAAGGGGGGGCAACAGUUGAAACUAGCCAAUAUCACCACAACUCAAUUCCUCGUGUUGAUAAAAUUCUCUUUAUGCUAAAGAAGUAGCUACUAGUGAAGUAGAGAAGCCAAGUUCGACUCGACAUCUUCGUUGGCUUUGUGAUCAAAUGACUCAUCACCAAUAUAUAGGUCUAGGAUUGAUCUGCA